GACGAACGCUGGCGGCGUGCCUAAUACAUGCAAGUAGAACGCUGAAGAGAGGAGCUUGCUCUUCUUGGAUGAGUUGCGAACGGGUGAGUAACGCGUAGGUAACCUGCCUUGUAGCGGGGGAUAACUAUUGGAAACGAUAGCUAAUACCGCAUAACAAUGGAUGACACAUGUCAUUUAUUUGAAAGGGGCAAUUGCUCCACUACAAGAUGGACCUGCGUUGUAUUAGCUAGUAGGUGAGGUAAUGGCUCACCUAGGCGACGAUACAUAGCCGACAUGAGAGGGUGAUCGGCCACACUGGGACUGCGACACGGCCCAGACUCCUGCGGGAGGCAGCAGUAGGGAAUCUUCGGCAAUGGGGGCAACCCUGACCGAGCAACGCCGCGUGAGUGAAGAAGGUUUUCGGAUCGUAAAGCUCUGUUGUAAGUCAAGAACGGGUGUGAGAGUGGAAAGUUCACACUGUGACGGUAGCUUACCAGAAAGGGACGGCUAACUACGU
Molecule: ribosomal RNA, 496 nt
Filed under: uncultured bacterium
Lineage: Bacteria
Description: partial 16S ribosomal RNA
Rfam family: Bacterial small subunit ribosomal RNA
Source: RNAcentral